This 714-nucleotide ribosomal RNA is filed under the name uncultured bacterium. Its description in RNAcentral is "bacterial SSU rRNA". It matches the Rfam family "Bacterial small subunit ribosomal RNA", at positions 141 to 851 of the family's 1533-position model. The record is from RNAcentral.
GGAUAACUGCUCGAAAGGGUGGCUAAUACCGCAUGAGACCUGAGGGUGAAAGCGGGGGAUCGCAAGACCUCGCGCAAUUGGAGCGGCCGAUGCCCGAUUAGCUAGUUGGUGAGGUAAAGGCUCACCAAGGCGACGAUCGGUAGCUGGUCUGAGAGGACGACCAGCCACACUGGGACUGAGACACGGCCCAGACUCCCACGGGAGGCAGCAGUGGGGAAUUUUGGACAAUGGGGGCAACCCUGAUCCAGCCAUGCCGCGUGCAGGAUGAAGGCCUUCGGGUUGUAAACUGCUUUUGUCAGGGACGAAAAGGACCGUGUUAAUACCAUGGUCUGCUGACGGUACCUGAAGAAUAAGCACCGGCUAACUACGUGCCAGCAGCCGCGGUAAUACGUAGGGUGCAAGCGUUAAUCGGAAUUACUGGGCGUAAAGCGUGCGCAGGCGGUUCUGUAAGACAGAUGUGAAAUCCCCGGGCUCAACCUGGGAAUUGCAUUUGUGACUGCAGGACUAGAGUUCAUCAGAGGGGGGUGGAAUUCCAAGUGUAGCAGUGAAAUGCGUAGAUAUUUGGAAGAACACCAAUGGCGAAGGCAGCCCCCUGGGAUGCGACUGACGCUCAUGCACGAAAGCGUGGGGAGCAAACAGGAUUAGAUACCCUGGUAGUCCACGCCCUAAACGAUGUCUACUGGUUGUUGGGGUUUUUUAACUUCGGUAACGAAG